This 505-nucleotide ribosomal RNA is filed under the name uncultured bacterium. RNAcentral's name for it is "partial 16S ribosomal RNA". It matches the Rfam family "Bacterial small subunit ribosomal RNA", at positions 28 to 523 of the family's 1533-position model. The record is from RNAcentral.
GAUGAACGCUAGCUACAGGCUUAACACAUGCAAGUCGAGGGGCAGCAUGGUCUUAGCUCGCUAAGACCGAUGGCGACCGGCGCACGGGUGAGUAACGCGUAUCCAACCUUCCGCAUACUCGGGAAUAGCCUUUCGAAAGAAAGAUUAAUGCCCGAUGGUUUCCCGAAUCCGCAUGAGAGCGGGAAUAAGAUUCAUUGGGUUGCGGUGGGGAUGCGUCCCAUUAGCUUGUUGGCGGGGUAACGGCCCACCAAGGCGACGAUGGGUAGGGGUUCUGAGAGGAAGGUCCCCCACAUUGGAACUGAGACACGGUCCAAACUCCUACGGGAGGCAGCAGUGAGGAAUAUUGGUCAAUGGGCGAGAGCCUGAACCAGCCAAGUAGCGUGAGGGAUGACCGCCCUACGGGUCGUAAACCUCUUUUAUAAGGGAAUAAAGAUAAGUACGCGUACUUAGUUGCAUGUACCUUAUGAAUAAGCAUCGGCUAACUCCGUGCCAGCCGCCGCAGUAA